UACGUAGGGUGCAAGCGUUGUCCGGAAUUAUUGGGCGUAAAGAGCUCGUAGGCGGUUUGUCGCGUCGGCUGUGAAAUCCCGGGGCUCAACCUUGGGCUUGCAGUGGGUACGGGCAGACUAGAGUGCGGUAGGGGUGACUGGAAUUCCUGGUGUAGCGGUGAAAUGCGCAGAUAUCAGGAGGAACACCGGUGGCGAAGGCGGGUCUCUGGGCCGAUACUGACGC
RNAcentral lists this ribosomal RNA (223 nucleotides) under uncultured bacterium. RNAcentral's name for it is "partial 16S ribosomal RNA". It matches the Rfam family "Bacterial small subunit ribosomal RNA", at positions 524 to 746 of the family's 1533-position model. The record is from RNAcentral.